CUGACCUCAAAUCGGGUAGGACUACCCGCUGAACUUAA
This 38-nucleotide ribosomal RNA is filed under the name Auriporia aurea. RNAcentral's name for it is "partial 28S ribosomal RNA". RNAcentral also lists the same sequence under 4 other names. Lineage: Eukaryota; Fungi; Basidiomycota; Agaricomycetes; Polyporales; Auriporiaceae. The record is from RNAcentral.